GACGAACGCUGGCGGCGUGCCUAAUACAUGCAAGUCGAACGGUUUAGUUCCAAGAGGCUUGCCUUUUGGAACUAGACAGUGGCGGACGGGUGAGUAACACGUAGGCAACCUACCUGUCAAACCGGGAUAACCUCGGGAAACCGAAGCUAAACCCGGAUAAGCUCCUUUUUCGCAUGAAGGGGGAGUGAAAAGGUGCGACCUGAUGACAGAUGGGCCUGCGGCGCAUUAGCUAGUAGGUAGGGUAACGGCCUACCUAGGCGAUGAUGCGUAGCCGACCUGAGAGGGCGUCCGGCCACACUGGGACUGAGACACGGCCCAGACUCCGACGGGAGGCAGCAGUAGGGAAUCUUCGGCAAUGGGCGAAAGCCUGACCGAGCAACGCCGCGUGAGUGAGGAAGGCCUUCGGGGGGUAAAACUCUGUUGUUUGGGAAGAAGGGAAAGGGUAGGACCCUUAGGUGACGGUACCAAACGAGAAAGCCCCGGCUAACUACG
This 492-nucleotide ribosomal RNA is filed under the name uncultured bacterium. RNAcentral's name for it is "partial 16S ribosomal RNA". It matches the Rfam family "Bacterial small subunit ribosomal RNA", at positions 28 to 505 of the family's 1533-position model. The record is from RNAcentral.